UCCGUAGGGUGCAAGCGUUGUCCGGAAUUAUUGGGCGUAAAGAGCGUGUAGGCGGCCCGAUUAGUCCGCUGUGAAAGUCCAGGGCUCAACCCUGGAAUGCCGGUGGAUACUGUCGGGCUAGAGUCCGGAAGGGGCGAGUGGAAUUCCUGGUGUAGCGGUGAAAUGCGCAGAUAUCAGGAGGAACACCAAUGGCGAAGGCAGCUCGCUGGGACGUGACUGACGCUGAGACGCGAAAGCGUGGGGAGCAAACAGG
RNAcentral lists this ribosomal RNA (253 nucleotides) under uncultured bacterium. RNAcentral describes it as "partial 16S ribosomal RNA". It matches the Rfam family "Bacterial small subunit ribosomal RNA", at positions 524 to 776 of the family's 1533-position model. The record is from RNAcentral.